UUUCUUAAUUAGCAUUUUCCAAAUUUUUGGUUUUCCUACAUAUUUCAUAUACGUCUUCCACUUCUGUGAUUUGAAUUGCUUUAAAAAGUUUCCGCUUUUGUGCUUAAUUUGCAUAUAAUUUUAUAACACCAAAUUAAGUCUCAACCAAUAUGGAAAAUUUGUUCCAAAGUAGUUUCGCCUUUUGUAAACGCUUUACAUGUGGUGAGGCCCCACUUUUAUCACGUCUCCCGGUUGGUCAAAAUGUUCCAUUGGUUGAACGCAAUAUCGCUUCUGAAGUAGAAAGUGUACGAAUUAAGUCUCCACUUUGCUUUGGAUUACUAGGCACUACACCGGAUUUGGUUACAUCCGGAGUUUCACCAAUGACCGAUUUGAAAAGAAUUAAUUAUACCUCAACCGCUAGAAAGAAGAAGAAAGACAGGCAUGGUGCUCUGGCACACUUCAGGAAGUAUUUAAUUUCAAUAACGCCAAAGCCUACGUAUGAGGGAUAUUAUCGGUUCAACCAGCAAUAGAAUUGUCUGAAAGCAAUCACAAAGCUCAAUUAAUGCGAUUGAGAAGAAAGUUCGAUUAUUUUUAAUAUUGGUUUUUCUUAUGUAAUCUUUGAAGAGAAUUUAUGACUGAUCUUCCGUUAACUUGUGAACAUCGUGGAAAUAAAACCUUUUCUUGAAGAUUUAAUAGUUGAAGUCAAUAUUUUACAAUACCGGACUCUCUCUAUAAUCGUACUUAAUUGGUAAACUGAUAAGUGUAUGAAUGGCGGUGUAUUAUUAGAUGAAUUUCUCUAUAUAUAACAUGGCCUGAAACUUAAAAUGAUUGCUUUGUGAUUGCUUUCAAACAAUAUUAUUAUAAAUUGAUGGUCAAUUAUUUAUGCUUGUAAAAUUACCGGAUGGACCUACUGAUUAUGACUACUUGGCCAAAAAAUGCACCGAAAAGUUCAGAAAUAGCGCAGUAAUUUUUUUUUUACCUGACUUCACUACAUUAUUAGUGGCAAUAGUAAUCCGCUGAACAAACGUCUUUCUCGAGUGAAUUUAUUAUUUAUGGCCAAUUGAACAGGAAUUUCACUAGAAAGCUAAGGAAUGGCAUGGUACUUAGUUCUCUGAACUAUUGCACAGCUAAUAAUUUUAAUUUAUACGAAAAGUGAAAACCUUACCUACCUGACUUUACUAAUUCAUAUAUUAGAUUUGACACCAAGAUAAUUUAUAAAUAAACGGAGUGGCGCGACAUAUACCUGAUUUAACAAAUUUGGAUCCUACUGGAUUUUUUUAAUAAUGAAUACUAUGUGCGUACAACUAAUGUUUAUUAUUUAAUAUUGAAUACUUGGCUAAAAUAUUUACAGCGAAGUUUACUGAUUUUAAAUUAUUAAUAUGUGACCAUACUGGAACGGACUUCUACCGGAUUUGACUAAACAAAAUAUAUUUUGGGGGAUGUGAUAAAGUGGUAUUAAUCGACUAUAUAUAGUUUUGUAUAAUUUUAAAUUGAUUGUUGUAAUUGUCAGCAUGUUUUUAUCCUACAUAAGUGCAAACACUAUUCUAGACUUCUCACUAAGAACUGUUUAAAGGAAACUUAAAAAUGAAUUUGAAGACCUUAUUUCAACGAUAAUAAUUAAUAUGUGUAGUUAGAAAGUGAUUG
This is a long non-coding RNA of Teleopsis dalmanni, 1623 nucleotides long. RefSeq lists it as uncharacterized. Lineage: Eukaryota; Metazoa; Arthropoda; Insecta; Diptera; Diopsidae. The record is from RefSeq and is a predicted model, not a curated record. The transcript is spliced from 9 exons.